Molecule: ribosomal RNA, 920 nt
Filed under: Lepraria umbricola
Lineage: Eukaryota; Fungi; Ascomycota; Lecanoromycetes; Lecanorales; Stereocaulaceae
Description: SSU rRNA
Rfam family: Bacterial small subunit ribosomal RNA
Source: RNAcentral
AAUAGCCUAACGGCUGAACCAGCAACUUGGAGGAAUGUAUAGCAAUAGCUGAUUGCACCAACAAAUAGUUGAUGCAAUAUUGACUCUGUCAAAUAAAAUUCUAGGUAGAAUUAUGAUAAUGACAUUGUCUGCCUAUAUGUCUUGACCAAAUUACGUGCCAGCAGUCGCGGUAAUACGUAGAAGACUAGUGUUAUUCAUCUUUAAUAGGUUUAAAGGGUACCUAGACGGUAAAUCAAGCCUUCACGGGGACUAAUUUACUAGAGUUACUUACGAGGGGGUAUUAAAGUACUGCAGGUGUAGAGAUGAAAUUCUGUCAUACCUCUUUUCAAAAGAAAAACUAUGGCACAGGUAUAGGUGAAAGCAUCCCCUUAUGUGAUAACUGACGUUGAAGGACGAAGGCUUUGUGUCGCGAACAGGAUUAGAUACCCCAGUAGUCAAAGCAGAAAAUGAUGAAUGUCAUAGAUUAGAUAUAUAGUUUAUUCUAUAAAUGAAAAUGUAAGCAUUCCACCUCAAGAGUAAUUUGGCAACAUUGGAACUGAAAUCAUUAGACCGUUUCUGAAACCAGUAGUGAAGUAUGUUGUUUAAUUUGAUGAUCCGCAAAAAACCUUACCACAAUUUGAAUAUUUAUAUCUAUCUUUUUUUUUCGUAAAAAAAAUAAAAAGGUAAUAUAUUUACAAGCGUUGCACGGCUGUCUUCAGUUAAUGUCGCGAGACUUUGGUUAGUUCCAUUUAAUUAACGUAAACCCUUACUUUAUUUUUAUAUGAAGUAGUUCCCCGCUAUAUUGGAUAUGAUAACAGGGACUAAGACAAGUCAUCAUGGCCUUAAUAUUGUGGGCUAUAGACGUGCCACAUAAACCUUACAAAAGGGUGUGAAAUUGCGAAAUUGAGCUAAUCCCCCAAAAAUGGAUAAACAUUGUUAAU